UCGCGCGGCGUCCCCUGGCUCUGCGCCCCUGGGUCCCAGGCACCGAGGCCGCGGACCGCCAAGAACGCCCCUGCACCCCAGAGCCGGCCUCCCUGUCUCGGCGCAGCGGUCAUCAUCCAAAAUGCAGCAGUCUUCCUCUGAACGCUCACCUCUUCGUGCUAACCCCGAGUGGACAAACCAACUAACGCCCUUUCCUCCCUCUGCUCUUUCUGCACAAGCCGGUCCUCAGUGCUUUACUCAGAAAAGUGAAGGGUGUCACAACCAACAGGACUUCUACAAUCCUUGUGGGGCCCCACGUGAAUGCUGGAGCUCUGGCAACCUGUUUGGCACCUUGAGGCAUCCACACAUUGGCACCCAGCUGUGGAUCCAUGGCAUGGCGCUCAUGACCCCAGUUCUCCUGAAGUCACAGCCGUGGACACAGCUCACCGGUGUCCGGCCAGGGUGAUAACCAGCAGCUCGCUGAGUCCGCAUGCAGCCUCCUCGCCCAACGCUGCCUCUUCAGAGCCUGAGGGGCACAGGAUCUUUCCUCGGAGUCCCAGCACCAAAAGCCAGGUGAACACAUCCCAGCCGUCCUGGUCUUCUACCCCAAUUAAAGGCCCAGAGAUGAAGUUGCUGAAGAACCUCGCUCACACCUAUUUCACACAGUUGAGGCUGGCUGUCGGCUGAGAGGAGAACCAGCUACAUGGCUCACAGGGACCCAUGCAGAAGGAAAACCAAAGCCCGCAUCCAAACAGUUACUGAGAAUUUCAAGAUGGCGGCCACAGACCCUGGAACGGAGCAUGGCGCCCGUUCCACAGACCCUGACCCUGGAAAUCAGCCCUCGCUGAGAUGUCUGGGGACGCUUUCCCACAGAACUCUCACACGUGACCUCUUUGCAUGGCUUGGGUGAGCUCAGAGCGUGCUGGCUUCCAAAGGUACCUGGGUUGCAAAGGGAGUGAAAAUCCCAGGGAGUGAAAAUCGAGCAGAACUCGUAUCACGUGCAGAAGCCCAAGUCAUGCAGCAUCUCUCCCGCAGUCGUCUCUCCGUAACAGCAACAACAGAUACCCACCCGAGUUCCCAGGAAGGAGAAUAGGACCGCUCUGUGUCACCACCAGCUCGAGGCCCACCUGGGUAAUCUCCUGUGUGUUCCUGGUGUAAAACUUGCUCUGACGUCUUGGUUAACCAGACUUGACAGGUUAGUAAGCAAAAACACGCCUUAGAUUUCCCAAAUACCAAGAAUCACAUAUGGUCAUCACUCUUAUAAAAGGAAAGAGCAGAGCAAACAGAACAGAGCUCUUUCCUUUGCCAGGAAGAAAAUUAAUGCUUUGCUUAGAAAGGUGGGCCAGUGUGUUGUCACUACAUUUGCUUGGAAAUAAAAUGAGAAUCAUUUCACCAAAAAGCAAAAAAGCACACAAAAGUCAACUCGUGUUCUGGACUUUGCACAGCCCACCAAAGCUGUCUGCCUGGGCUUGGCUCUCCUGGGUAGCAUCAUUCAUCCCAGCUCUCCUGGGUGGGAUGUUUCAUGUGGGAAUCCAGAACAAAGCUGUGGAGUAGAUGAUCCUUCUACGUAAGGGACGGGUCACUAUGGGUCCCCUCUGAGGUGGCCGGCUUUGUGUCGAUCUGGGGUGACACCUGAAGAAACAGUGUAGAGAAAGAAAGAUUUGUUUUGACUCAUGGCUUCAGAGAGUACAGUCCAUGGUAGGCCAGCUCAUCAUGGCGGACAGGUGCACUAGAAGCAACCUGCUGAACUCACAGCACCCUGGAGGUAGAAAUGCCAAAAGCACAGGUCCCAGGGACCAGAUUUGGAUCCCAAGGUCCCACCUCCAUCCCCCAGACCCCCAAGGCGCCAAGAUCACCCCGCAAUAGCUGCUUAGAAAACAGCUCCAGUGUGGGAGGAUCCAUUGGUGAAAUCGUCACCAGCCAUCUCACUGAUAAACCUGCCUGGGUGGGGCCACCAGCUUAAGCCAGACACACAGAGCUUCAAACCCAACUGCAAGGGGCCCCAUGCCAUAUGCCCGUGAACCAGGAGCUCAAAAGUGCGAGGUGUGAUGUAAUUAUCCACAUUUCAGUCUCAGCUUGCAAGUCAUCAACAAACACCAUGGAGCACUCUCUCUCUCUCUCUCUCUCUCUCUCUCUCUCUCUCUCUCUCUCUCUCUCUCUCUCGGGUGCCAUGAGCUGGGGUGCAGAAAUGCCACAAUUAGCUGUUCGCCCAGACCAGUGUUAACAAAUGCAGGAACCCCUGCUUCCACCCCUUGUCUCUGUGCCUGGGUGCCCUUUGCUUCCGUUGUUGGGAUGGGGCAGACGUGACUCCAACAUUUCUACACUUUAGCCCUUGGAAGUUUUGGGCUGGAACCUGCCGGCUGUCACGGGUCAAGCUCAGCUCUCCCGCUAGAAGCUCAAAGCGUGCUUCUCUGGCGGCAGAACGUGUGCAGAUUUGGUUAAAUGCUGCACUGAAAUCUGUGCAAAUGGCGGCUUCGCUGACUGCCUUAGUCUCAGCUCUGAAACAAAAACAGGGGCUUAGAGCUCGCAGGCAGCAUGCCACAGCGGGUGUCCGGAAGGGGUUUGUUUUGGGGGAGCACUGUGACACGUAAUGGCUGAAAACAAUAGAAAGCUAUUCUUCCCCAGCCCGGAGCCCAAGAGUCUGAGACCAAGGUGACUCCGGCAGCACUUGCCUUAUUGGCUCCGGGCGAGACCCUCCUGCCUCUGCUUCCUCCUGGGGAUCCAGGUGGCCUCGGGCGGUGGCCCCAUCAUUCCCGUCUGUGCCUCUGUCUCUAAGAGGCUUCUCUCCUGUGUCAGUGUCUCUUUUCUGUCUCUCACCAGGACACCACCAUCCAGGCUGUGCUCAGCCCAGGACUAUGCCAAAGGCCACUGGCCCAGCAGCCCCUGAUAAAACGCCUACCUCCCCCCUCCAUGCAGAGUGUAGAACGCAGGGCUGCAAGGAGGCGUACACAGCAUGAAAGGCGAAUUCUUCUCAGCAAACCCUCUGCCAAUUCUCCGGACAAGCUCUUUGAAAACCACAGGACAGAAAUGGAAAUUUCCUUUUGGGUCUUAUUCACUCUUUCGGUUUCUUACACCAGGGAGACAGGACAAUGGGAAAGAAACUCCUCAAAAGGGAAGGUGGGGGAAGAGAAGAAAAAGAAAGGAAAAAGAGAUAUGUAUAUACACACGAGAUAGCUAAGAUAAUUGCACCGCUAAUUUGUCUUAGUUCGUUGAAAGGAACAGUUAGUGCUUAUAUUGUUUGACCGAUUUUGCAUGCCUGUCUCUGGUAAUCUAAGCAACUACUU
Molecule: long non-coding RNA, 3263 nt
Organism: Chinchilla lanigera (long-tailed chinchilla)
Lineage: Eukaryota; Metazoa; Chordata; Mammalia; Rodentia; Chinchillidae
Exons: 4
Source: RefSeq, a predicted model, not a curated record